Molecule: transfer RNA, 39 nt
Filed under: Zootoca vivipara (common lizard)
Lineage: Eukaryota; Metazoa; Chordata; Lepidosauria; Squamata; Lacertidae
Description: partial tRNA-Glu
Source: RNAcentral
GCUUAUUUUAAUAGUUGAAUACAACGAUGGUUUUUCAUA